This 740-nucleotide long non-coding RNA is filed under the name Sorghum bicolor (sorghum). RNAcentral describes it as "long non-coding RNA (SBIC_LNC007340)". The record is from RNAcentral. Lineage: Eukaryota; Viridiplantae; Streptophyta; Magnoliopsida; Poales; Poaceae.
GGGAUACAAGCAUGGGGCUCCAUCUUCCUAUUUUGCAUUUUUCCUAUAAUCCAAAACCCGAUUGAUUUAUCAAUUUCUGACAAAUCAAACCACUCAGAAGGUAUAGAUCCUCCCCGAACCCCUUAGAAGAGGAAAACAAAACUCCAGAAAUCACUCGGAAUCGGAACCCAUGGAACCAAACUAUAUACUUCGUAAAAUCCUACAGCCAAAUCACACGUCAAUUCCAUUAAAGUCAACAGUAAUGACGAAUCCAAAUACGCCCCAAUAACAUUGGUUCGAUUAGAGCGAACCGAAUUCGCAACGAACGGGAUAAAAAAAGCGACAGGGAAGACCAAAAAAAAAACCGAAUCACGCCAAUCUGACCACAAUAUGCGUAAUGUAAAAAACAGAGAGGCGAAGGGGCUGUACCUCCGAACGAUUUCUUGGCACGGAGCGGUGCGACGGGCUUGGACCCGCGAGCCCGCACGGCAACCGCAGCUCCCGCCGGAUCAGCGACUCUCAGGCUCCCGAUGGGCGACUGUAGGCCGCCCCGGCGCCGUCCGGAGCCGAAGCCCGCGGCAACCGCAGCUCCCGCCGGAUCAGCGACUCUCAGGCUCCCGAUGGGCGACUGUAGGCCGCCCCGGCGCCGUCCGGAGCCGAAGCCCGCGGCCCGCGUCUGCAGCGCCAGGCCCGCCUCCAUCCUCUGCUGCUGCUGCUGCUGUGCGGGGAGAGGGGACGCGGCGACCAGUCGGCUACGGCUC